AUAAUCUAUCAUUAUUUGACAUUUUUGAUCUUAUUAAUGAAAUCAUUUAUGAAGAGCACAUGACACAAAGUACAACAAUAACUCAUCAAGGAUGAAAGCAGAUCACUGGAGUUAGUGCAUCACCGGUUUCGUUUACUCAGAAGUACAAGUCUUUCUUGUAAGAUUAGGUGGGUCGUAUCAAGUCAUGCUAGAGGUUUGAAGGAAUGUAAAAACUGCAUUCAGGUAGGUAGGUGUGGUUUUUGUCAAAAUAUGAUUGGCUGACAACCGAUAUAAAGCGAAUCGGAUUUAUUUUCUCUGUGGCAGUCGCCAAGACAAAACAACGGAGGAAACGGUUUUCUGGAGGCGCACAUACAUGAUAUCACUUCUAAGUAUAAAAAAAAAUAUCUUUUGAAGUACAUUUUUCCUAAGCCUAUACAACCCAGUUUUAACAUUUUUCAUUUGAAAAUGUCCAAAAAAUUUUUUUUAAGUGUGUUAAAAUUUUAAAGUCUAUAUCACACCAUUCUAACAUUCUUCAUUUGGAUAAUAGCUCAUACCCGCCUUGGCUUACAAGGGAAAUUAUUGAGAACUGUUUCUAUGAACUAAAAUCUACGAAUGGCCCUGUAGUUUACGAAAGUGGAGAAAUUCGAAAAUAUGAUCCCAGCAUGAGGAAGGUGAUUAGAAGGGAAAUACCAUGCGAAAUAAUUAUUACUGAUGGAGAAAAAAUAACAAAUGGACUUGGCUGUUAUUACGGCUGUGGUCAUGUCCUGACUGCGUUACAUGUUGCUGAAAACGCACGUUUAGAAAAUUCUGAAAUACUCAGUGCUUUCCCUAAUGGAAAACAUACACUGAUCUAUAAGGCUGAAUUUACAAUAUCGUGUAGCACUGACACAGACAGAGAUCAGGGAUUUAUUAAAUUACUUGGUGACACUAGUCCGCUUGGUGAUGGUUUACAAAAUCAGAUUGCUAAAGCCAGUGAAAAUGAAAGUGUAUAUUUUUACACCUUAGAGCCUGAUGGAAAUUUUCAGAAGCAGGAAGGUAAAAUCCUUCAUCCAAAUUCAGACAUGAAGAAAAAAAUGAUUACUGAUGAAUUUAUAACAUCUGUAGCAGGUAUACCUGGAGACAGUGGCUCACCUGUUUACAAUACUAAACAUGAACUGAUUGGUAUAUAUAGAGGUAGCUUUACAUGUCCUGACACUCCUAAAUAUAAAUAUGGCCGCUGUUCAAGAAUUUCUCCACAGUUACCCUGGGUCCGAACAAAUUUGUGUAGUUUUAUAGCAACAACUAUUUUGUGAUAGCGUUUGUAAUACAACCCCUGAUUUAGAGAUGAUCUGCUUCUGUUUGGUUGACAUUAAUUGAUUUUAGUCUAUCUAAUCAAUUUAAUAUUAUAAUGUUUGGCUUAUGGUUCUGUGUGUGCGUGUGUGUGUGUGUGUGUGUGUGUGUGAGUGUGUGUGUGUGUGUGUGUGUCUACGCGUCUGCACUCAACACAUGAGCCAAACUGAGCAACUGGGCCAAGCCUCUGGUUUUUCGGUUUCAUUUUUGUUUUCUGCCAGACUGAGGAAUUAAAGCUAAUGUACAAGCGGAACCCGAGUCUGCUGAGAUUCACCUGCUGACAACAAGCAUUUACCACACUGGAGACAAAAACCUGUGAGAUCAGUACCACCAAAGGUCACAUGUACAUGGUGUCAAAUCGCCUGGCACAGAUCGAACAGCCUCAAGCCAUCUUCUAGGAUGCAAGAGAAGCAGCAUCAGGCCCUCACAGGUCUGCAGCAACAGCAGCAGGAAAUCCUCCAUAAACAUCAUGGAGGAGCAAGCGGCAGACCAACCCACCAUCCAGAGCCUGCUGGCACGAUCCCCUCUAUAAACUCUCUCACUGGUCAGAAUGACACCCCAGGGUGAUGUCGAGGUGUACCUGGAGAUGUUCGAGAGUACCACCUGGGCAUGAGGCUGGCUGAGUGAGGUCUGCACAUUCAAGACCUCCUGAACAGAGACCUGGCUGCUUUCCAGUGGCUCGCAUUGGCUCAUGCAUUGUGUGCACACACACACACACACACACACACACACACACACACACACACACACACACACACACACACACACACACACCACUCAGGCUCAGCUCACUAAGACAGAUGGGGACAGAAAGCUCGGAAAAAGCUGAGUUCUCCAUUAUUUAGAUUUGACCAUUUCUAAGCACAUAGGGCUAAUGGAAUUAUAAACACUAUGCCUGGAAAUCAUAAAAUACGUAAUGUUAAAGACAAGAAAAUGUUUUUAAAAAUUACAUAAAAAUCACCUUCCCAAAACCAGCACAAAAAAUUUAAUAUAAAAAAAUACCCAUAACAUUUAUUAUUAUUAUUAUUAUUAUUAUUAUUAUUAUUAUUAUUAUUAUUAUAUAGUAGGCAGGCAUGUAGUGUAUGAUCCUCUGGAAACCACUUCCUCCAUUUUAUCUGGCGGCUGCCCAGGGUGAGGUGCACAAAAUAAGACAGUAGAUACACUAAAGGAAAGAACAACUCACCCUUGCUGCACUGGAUAGAGGACACCUGGAUACUGUAGAUUUAUACCUACAAAAUGCUGCUGUAAUCAUCAUCGCUGCAGUCAUCACUUCACCUGUGUGCUGUAAUAAGUUAUAAUCACACUAUCCGGUGUCACCCACAAGAGGAUGGGUUCCCUACUGAGUCUGGUUCCUCUCAAGGUUUCCUCCUCAUGUCACCUCAGGGAGGUUUUCCUUGCCAUCGUUGCCUUAAAAGCUUGCUCACUAGGGAUCUAAAUCUACAUCCAGGUUUCUGUAACAAAAUAUCUACUGAACAAGAACAAUAAAAUGAAACGUUGAAAUGAACUGAACUGGUGUGAUGACUAUCUCAUGAUUAAACUCUGGGUCAGAAAGAAUAUAGUUUACUGGAAAUCUAAAAAGCUACAGAUUGAAUUGAAUAGAUUACUGAUGCGUUUAAAAUGGCAUUCCUGAACAGGUAUUUUAAAAUAAUAAUAGUAUUACUAAUAAGCCCAUUUAAAUAAUUAAAAAUCUGAAUAAUUAAUGAAUACCAUUCAGCAGCAUGUAAUGGUAUUUUUAAAUAUUUUUUUAGUGAUGAAAAAUCAUGGCGCCCUGCAGUAUUAAAAAUUGUCCAAUAGAGGGCAGUGUCUACAGUUUAAAAACCAC
Long non-coding RNA from Ictalurus punctatus (channel catfish), 3130 nucleotides. The record is from Ensembl. NCBI's taxonomy places the organism in Eukaryota, Metazoa, Chordata, Actinopteri, Siluriformes, Ictaluridae.